GAUGAACGCUGGCGGCGUGCCUAAUACAUGCAAGUCGAGCGAACAGACGAGGAGCUUGCUCCUCUGACGUUAGCGGCGGACGGGUGAGUAACACGUGGAUAACCUACCUAUAAGACUGGGAUAACUUCGGGAAACCGGAGCUAAUACCGGAUAAUAUAUUGAACCGCAUGGUUCAAUAGUGAAAGACGGUUUUGCUGUCACUUAUAGAUGGAUCCGCGCCGCAUUAGCUAGUUGGUAAGGUAACGGCUUACCAAGGCAACGAUGCGUAGCCGACCUGAGAGGGUGAUCGGCCACACUGGACCUGAGACACGGUCCAGACUCCUACGGGAGGCAGCAGUAGGGACUCUUCCGCAAUGGGCGAAAGCCUGACGGAGCAACGCCGCGUGAGUGAUGAAGGUCUUCGGUUCGUAAAACUCUGUUAUUAGGGAAGAACAAAUGUGUAAGUAACUAUGCACGUCUUGACGGUACCUAAUCAGAAAGCCACGGCUAACUACGU
Molecule: ribosomal RNA, 496 nt
Filed under: uncultured bacterium
Lineage: Bacteria
Description: partial 16S ribosomal RNA
Rfam family: Bacterial small subunit ribosomal RNA
Source: RNAcentral